This 468-nucleotide ribosomal RNA is filed under the name uncultured bacterium. RNAcentral's name for it is "partial 16S ribosomal RNA". It matches the Rfam family "Bacterial small subunit ribosomal RNA", at positions 28 to 507 of the family's 1533-position model. The record is from RNAcentral.
GACGAACGCUGGCGGCGUGCUUAACACAUGCAAGUCGAACGGAAAGGCCCUGCUUUUGUGGGGUGCUCGAGUGGCGAACGGGUGAGUAACACGUGAGUAACCUGCCCUUGACUUUGGGAUAACUUCAGGAAACUGGGGCUAAUACCGGAUAGGAGCUCCUGCUGCAUGGUGGGGGUUGGAAAGUUUCGGCGGUUGGGGAUGGACUCGCGGCUUAUCAGCUUGUUGGUGGGGUAGUGGCUUACCAAGGCUUUGACGGGUAGCCGGCCUGAGAGGGUGACCGGCCACAUUGGGACUGAGAUACGGCCCAGACUCCUACGGGAGGCAGCAGGGGGGGAUAUUGCACAAUGGGCGGAAGCCUGAUGCAGCAACGCCGCGUGCGGGAUGACGGCCUUCGGGUUGUAAACCGCUUUCGCCUGUGACGAAGCGUGAGUGACGGUAAUGGGUAAAGAAGCACCGGCUAACUACGUG